GCCGAGGUGGCCAAGAUUGCGCGUGGCCUAUCACGCUACGCCAAGCAGGCACAGGCGCUUGGGGUGCAAGUUUUCGGCGGCGGUAC
This 86-nucleotide transfer RNA is filed under the name Pseudomonas aeruginosa. RNAcentral describes it as "tRNA-Asp". The record is from RNAcentral. Lineage: Bacteria; Pseudomonadati; Pseudomonadota; Gammaproteobacteria; Pseudomonadales; Pseudomonadaceae.